GGGCAUCCGUGUCCUUGCGGUGCUGGGCAGCAGACCGUCCAAACCGACACGCGUGGUAUCCUCGCGGUGUCCGGCAAGAGACUACCAAGACAGACGCUAUGGCGGAAGAGUGAUACAAGAGACUGAGGCUGAUGUGAAUCCAAAGGCCUAUCCCCUUGCCGAUGCCCACCUCACCAAGAAGCUACUGGACCUCGUUCAGCAGUCAUGUAACUAUAAGCAGCUUCGGAAAGGAGCCAAUGAGG
This 242-nucleotide long non-coding RNA is filed under the name Homo sapiens (human). RNAcentral describes it as "HSALNT0278260". The record is from RNAcentral. Lineage: Eukaryota; Metazoa; Chordata; Mammalia; Primates; Hominidae.